AGGACACCCGCUUUCUUGCUGAUAGCAUGGGACCAGAUAGCAUGGGACCAGAUAGCAUGGGACCUGUGGAUUGGGAACUAUAGGAAGACUUGCCUACCGUUGAUCCAAGCAACACAGGGAAAGUCGAUUCCCCUGUCCUCUUGUCCACGGUCUGGAGUACUUUGCAGCAGUUGAGGUGAAGGGCAGGGUUGCUCAGUGGCCAGCAUUGCCAUUGACUCAAGAUGAAGUUUCUUCAGUGCCCAGUCUUCUUGGAGGAAAUGGGGUGGAGCCAGCAGCUGGCCUAUCUCUCUGUUAUGAAAAGCUUUUUAAUAAAACAUUUUAAAUGCUAUGUUCUCUAGAUCUCUGAGCAUUUGAGGGUUGCCUGUCUAAUAUCUCGGCAGUCAAAAAUUUACCUUUAGUUAGAGAAAAAUUUCUUUUUGUAAUAAAAGCGUUACCUUUGUAAACAGCUUGUAGGAUGGAUUGAGUGGUGUAAAUAUUUUGUUAACUUGAAAUAGACCUUUAUGAUUUCAAAUGUUAAUCAUCAUUUAAAGAUACAUAACAAUUUAGAAAUAUGAGAUUUACCACAGUUUAAAUUGCAUAUAGAGUUAGCUAAGUAUAAAGUUAAAUUUAAACUACAUGUACAGAGACAAGCAGGACUGGAUAAAAGUAAAAGGGGGAACCAGAAUCUUUGAUCCGUACAUUGUAGCAAACAGACAGGAGAUUUAAAGGGACAGAAUAGACUUAAACAGAGGGCCCUGGAAAGACACAGUAUUCCAUAAACGAGCCAUGCACAACAGGGCCAGUGAAAGGAAUCAGAGACAAAAAUAAAAAGCAAAAAAUCUGGCAGCCAGGUUUGCUGGCACAGGUGGCUGUGGUGGGCGUGCCUACAGGUAGGUCACAUGGCCAAGAUGGUGGCAACCUUAGGCAUGUUUCCGACUGCUGGCAGGAGUAACAAACAGAAGAGUGGGGGACAUUCCCAGGUGAAAGAAUGUUCCCACAGAGAGGUAGAAGAAAGCUUGGAUAGUACAUAAGAGUUUUAGUGAAACAGGACAUUGUUAGGUGAAAGGAGGUUCCCACAGAGAGGUAGAACUCCUCCCAUUUACCUCUUCGCUGGCAGUAACCAGAAAAGUUCCCAUACAUGUAUUCCCCAUGGGUGAGGCAAGUGAAAAAACCGGCAAAAGCCCCUCUUCGGAAGCCCAUAGCCCUGAGAGGGAUUGCUGGGGGCCUGGCCCCAAAGGGGACUCAGCUAUCCCGAAACCAAAAGGACCCAGUGGUCCGAACUGAAAAGCCAAAAAGCACCUCUCCUGGAGUGGGAUUCCAAACCUGACCUUGGGAAAUUUAAGGGGUAUCUUACCAGACUGCAGCCAACAGGCAGAUGAGUGGAUUCCAAAGAUCCUUAGUUUGAAAAGCGGCAAGUUGAAGCGUACAGAGUUCUGGCAUCUCAAGCCACCACAGGCAGGAGGUAAGGCCGGGAAAACCGAGAUGGAAAGUGGGUUGUGUGUUCGGAUUCUAGGAUCCCCGAAAUUCCCCGUAACCCUGGUGGGAGAGCUCCUGGGCCUGGACUAGUGCAGUCACUCCAUAUAUAUGUAUUUCCCAAGGGAACAAAUGUGGCUCCAUUCACAUGAACUGUUUUCAUACUCAGGCUUCCAUUGUACUUGCAAGGCUGGCCCUGGGGCUACUGUAACAAAUUACCAUGAGUCUAGAGGCACAAAGCAACACAGACAUUAUUCUCUAACAGUUCUCAGAAGUGAGAAGGCCAACAUUUUUCUUUUUAAACUGAGCAAAAUCAAGGCCACACUCCCACCACAGAAGAGAACAUGGCCCUUGCCUCUGCAGCUUCUGCUGGUUGACAGUGUUCCUGGGCUUGUGGCUGCCUCUCAGCACCAGCAACUUCAAGUGUUUCUGUAUGCUGUUUUUUUUAUAUCACUCUGUGCAUGUGCACUUAUAAAAUCCCUGUAGGGACAGUGUAAGCCACGCCUGCUAGAAGCUGGCUACACGUGUGCCUGACCACACCUAUUAGGGCGUGGUCAAGGUGAAGUCAGGAUGACACGUGAUAAGUUUUUAAGGGGCUGCAAGGCCCAUGGGAGCCCCUUCUCUCUGUCCUGCCUGCCUUGCUGCCCCUGGCGCACUCUGGCUUGUGUUAGGCUGAUGUUAAUCUAAAUAAAGAUAUCUUAACCUUACGGACUAAGGAUCUUCUCGUAAUAAAUCCCCCUCGGCUUCUCUCUCCCAUUGGGUACACAGGACAACAGUCAAUGCCUAAGGCACUAACCCAGGACAGCUACCUGAAUCACCCUGCAAAGACUUCCUUGUAUAACAUAACAUUCAACCUUCAGAUGGCCAAUUGAUUGCAUCUGAUGUCUUCAGGCCACCAGUGACAUCACCAGUAGCUCUGGAAAUCCCUUUGCAGGAUGAAGACAUUAUACUGUUUGUAGCUUCUG
Molecule: long non-coding RNA, 2417 nt
Filed under: Cricetulus griseus (Chinese hamster)
Lineage: Eukaryota; Metazoa; Chordata; Mammalia; Rodentia; Cricetidae
Description: lncRNA (ENSCGRG00015031572.1)
Source: RNAcentral